GUUCUUCAAGUUCAUCAUUAUUAAGACAUGGUGUUAAAAAAACAAGAUAUGUGACGCAAAGAACGAGAAACAUUUUAAUAGUUAUUAUUAAAAUGUAUUAUUAAAACCCGAUAAAACUGACAAAAGUCAGAUAUUUCAGGGUUAUCGUCAGAUGGAGUAUCUGUAUCAUCAUCUGCAUUGAUUCGUUUGAACAAGUCAGAAUUAUUUAAUCGUCAAUAGAUCGAAAUUUCGAAGGAAAAGUCAUCUAUUGAUACAACUUCUGCAAGUUCUAAUUUUGCUAUUAUUAAUUAAAAUGUCUUUGCGUAUUGGUAAGAAACACGU
Long non-coding RNA from Vespa crabro (European hornet), 321 nucleotides. RefSeq lists it as uncharacterized. The transcript is spliced from 3 exons. Lineage: Eukaryota; Metazoa; Arthropoda; Insecta; Hymenoptera; Vespidae. The record is from RefSeq and is a predicted model, not a curated record.